GCACCGAUGGUCCAGUGGUAAGACCCAUGCCUGCCUAGUAUGGAACCCGGGUUCGAAUCCCGGUCGGUGCACCA
Molecule: transfer RNA, 74 nt
Filed under: Candidatus Heimdallarchaeota archaeon
Lineage: Archaea; Promethearchaeati; Candidatus Heimdallarchaeota
Also listed under: 1 other name
Description: tRNA-Gly
Rfam family: tRNA
About the family: Transfer RNA (tRNA) molecules are approximately 80 nucleotides in length. Their secondary structure includes four short double-helical elements and three loops (D, anti-codon, and T loops).
Source: RNAcentral